This 368-nucleotide unclassified non-coding RNA is filed under the name Hevea brasiliensis (rubber tree). The record is from RNAcentral. Lineage: Eukaryota; Viridiplantae; Streptophyta; Magnoliopsida; Malpighiales; Euphorbiaceae.
AAUUCUCAUUUUUCUCCUCAUUCUUCUCCUCCAUCAAAACAGCGUCGUCCACCGCUAUAGCAUCGUACCUUCCUUUACCUCCAGACCAAAAAGAUCUAAGUGGGUACCUAAACGAAAAACCCCAUGACUUAUUCCUACAAGAAGAUGUCUUUUCCACAGACAUCGACGAACGUCCAACCGCCGAUGUACUAAACUGGGUGGAACGUACAUCUAAACCUCCGGCAAUGGCUAUAGGCCCCGCCAUACCCUGUAUCCCUCCUCCUGUCAAACAAAGACCAUCCAUUUCUAAAACCCCUUUUCAAAUCCUACAAAGUUAUUCACAAAUUCUUAUUCAAUCAAAUAAAUAAAGCUACAAGAAAGAGUUCAAG